UACGUAGGGUGCGAGCGUUGUCCGGAAUUAUUGGGCGUAAAGGGCUCGUAGGCGGUCUGUCGCGUCGGGAGUGAAAACUCAGGGCUUAACCCUGAGCCUGCUUCCGAUACGGGCAGACUAGAGGUAUGCAGGGGAGAACGGAAUUCCUGGUGUAGCGGUGGAAUGCGCAGAUAUCAGGAGGAACACCAAUGGCGAAGGCAGAUCUCUGGGCCGUAACUGACGCUGAGGAGCGAAAGCAUGGGGAGCGAACAGG
RNAcentral lists this ribosomal RNA (253 nucleotides) under uncultured bacterium. RNAcentral describes it as "partial 16S ribosomal RNA". It matches the Rfam family "Bacterial small subunit ribosomal RNA", at positions 524 to 776 of the family's 1533-position model. The record is from RNAcentral.